UUGACCUCAAAUCAGGUAGGGUUACCCGCUGAACUUAAGCAUAUCAAAACGGGGGGAGAAGAAAAG
This 66-nucleotide ribosomal RNA is filed under the name Veluticeps microspora. Its description in RNAcentral is "partial 28S ribosomal RNA". The record is from RNAcentral. Lineage: Eukaryota; Fungi; Basidiomycota; Agaricomycetes; Gloeophyllales; Gloeophyllaceae.